UCAGGAUGAACGCUAGCUACAGGCUUAACACAUGCAAGUCGAGGGGAAACGAUAUUGGAAGCUUGCUUCCGAUAGGCGUCGACCGGCGCACGGGUGAGUAACGCGUAUCCAACCUGCCCACCACUUGGGGAUAACCUUGCGAAAGUAAGACUAAUACCCAAUGAUAUCUCUAGAAGACAUCUGAAAGGGAUUAAAGAUUCAUCGGUGAUGGAUGGGGAUGCGUCUGAUUAGCUUGUUGGCGGGGUAACGGCCCACCAAGGCUACGAUCAGUAGGGGUUCUGAGAGGAAGGUCCCCCACAUUGGAACUGAGACACGGUCCAAACUCCUACGGGAGGCAGCAGUGAGGAAUAUUGGUCAAUGGGCGAGAGCCUGAACCAGCCAAGUAGCGUGCAGGAUGACGGCCCUAUGGGUUGUAAACUGCUUUUAUAAGGGAAUAAAGUGGGAGUCGUGACUCUUUUUGCAUGUACCUUAUGAAUAAGGACCGGCUAAUUCCGUGCCAGCAGCCGCGGUAAUACGGAAGGUCCGGGCGUUAUCCGGAUUUAUUGGGUUUAAAGGGAGCGUAGGCCGGAGAUUAAGCGUGUUGUGAAAUGUAGAUGCUCAACAUCUGCACUGCAGCGCGAACUGGUUUCCUUGAGUACGCACAAAGUGGGCGGAAUUCGUGGUGUAGCGGUGAAAUGCUUAGAUAUCACGAAGAACUCCGAUUGCGAAGGCAGCUCACUGGAGCGCAACUGACGCUGAAGCUCGAAAGUGCGGGUAUCGAACAGGAUUAGAUACCCUGGUAGUCCGCACGGUAAACGAUGGAUGCCCGCUGUUGGUCUGAAUAGGUCAGCGGCCAAGCGAAAGCAUUAAGCAUCCCACCUGGGGAGUACGCCGGCAACGGUGAAACUCAAAUGAAUUGAC
RNAcentral lists this ribosomal RNA (900 nucleotides) under uncultured bacterium. RNAcentral describes it as "bacterial SSU rRNA". It matches the Rfam family "Bacterial small subunit ribosomal RNA", at positions 24 to 914 of the family's 1533-position model. The record is from RNAcentral.